CAAAAUCUGAGUUUGAUCCUGGCUUAGAAGGAACGCUAGCUAUAUGCUUAACACAUGCAAGUCGAACGUUUUUUUCGGGGAGCUGGGCAGAAGGAAAAGAGGCUCCUAGCUAAAGUUGUCUCGCCCUGCUUCAAAACUACAGGGCGCGCGCUACGGCUUUGACCUAACGGCCUCCGUUUGCUGGAAUCAGAAUAGUUGAGAACAAAGUGGCGAACGGGUGCAUAAAGCAUGGGAAUCUGCCAAACAGUUCAGGCGAAAUCCUGAAGAAAGCUCAAAAGUGCUGUUUGAUGAGCCUGCGUAGUAUUAGGUAGUUGGUCAGGUAAAGGCUGACCAAGCCAAUGAUGCUUAGCUGGUCUUUUCAGAUGAUCAGCCACACUAGGACUGAGACACGGCCCGGACUCCCAUGGGGGGCAGCAAUGGGGAAUCUUGGACAAUGGGCGAAAGCCCGAUCUAGCAAUAUCGCGUGAGUGAAGAAGGGCAAUGCCGCUUGUAAAGCUCUUUCGUCGAGUGCACGAUCAUGACAGGACUUGAGGAAGAAGCCCCGACUAACUCCUUACCAGCAGCCGCGGUAAGAUGGGGGGGGCAAGUGUUCUUCGGAAUGACUGGGUGUAAAGGGCACGUAGGCGGCGAAUCGGGUUGAAAGUGAAAGUCGCCAAAAAGUGGCGGAAUGCUCUCGAAACCAAUUCACUUGAGUGAGACAGAGGAGAGUGGAAUUUCGUGUGUAGGGGUGAAAUCCGUAGAUCUACGAAGGAACGCCAAAAGCGAAGGCAGCUCUCUGGGUCCCUACCGACGCUGGGGUGCGAAAGCAUGGGGAGCGAACAGGAUUANUAGAUCUACGAAGGAACGCCAAAAGCGAAGGCAGCUCUCUGGGUCCCUACCGACGCUGGGGUGCGAAAGCAUGGGGAGCGAACAGGAUUAGAUACCCUGGUAGUCCAUGCCGUAAACGAUGAGUGUUCUCCCUUGGUCUACGCAGAUCAGGGCCCAGCUAACGCGUGAAACACUCCGCCUAGGGAGUAAAGUCGCAAGACCGAAACUCAAAGGAAUUGACGGGGGCCUGCACAAGCGGUGGAGCAUGUGGUUUAAUUCGAUACAACACGCAAAACCUUACCAGCCCUUGACAUAUGAACAACAAAACCUGCCCUUACCAAGAUGGUACUGACUUUCAUACAGGUGAUGCAUGGCUGUCGUCAGCUUGUGUCAUGAGAUGUUUGGUCAAGUCCUAUAACGAGCAAAACCCUCGUUUUGUGUUGUUGAGACAUGCGCCUAAGGAGAAAUUGCCACCGAGUGACGUGCCAACACUACUACUUGAUUGAGUGCCAUCAUGUAGCUGUGCUUUCAGCAAGAAUUUCACCAUUGGGAGCCGGUGCCUUUCGAAGCACUUUCAUGUGUGAACCGAAGUCGUCUUGCCCAAGACCCACGGAGACCUACCUAUAGUGAUGUCAAAGUACCAGUGAGCAUGGAGGUUUGGUUGAAAUUGGUUACGACGAUGUCGAGUUGGCGGCGAAGGAAGACUCAGCAUGAAGGCCAGAAAAUGGUGUGGAAUGUAGUGGUAAUAGUACGCGCCCCGCUCCGAAACAAAGAAAAAGGUGCGUGCCGCACUCACGAGGGACUGCCAGUGAGAUACUAGAGGAAGGUGGGGAUGACGUCAAGUCCGCAUGGCCCUUAUGGGCUGGGCCACACGUGUGCUACAAUGGCAAUGACAAUGGGAAGCAAGGCUGUAAGGCGGAGCGAAUCCGGAAAGACUGCCUUAGUUCGGAUUGUUCUCUGCAACUCGGGAACAUGAAGUUGAAAUCGUUAGUAAUCGCGGAUCAGCAUGUCGCGGUGAAUAUGUACCCGGGCCCUGUACACACUGCCCGUCACACCCUGGGAAUUGGUUUCACCUGAAGCAUCGGACCAAUGAUCACCCAUGAAUUACCACUAGUGCCACAAAGGCCUUUGGUGGUCUUAUUGGCUCAUACCACAGUGGGUUCUUCAACUGGGGUGAAGUCGUAACAAGGUAGCCGUAGGGGAACCUGUGGAUGGAUUGAAUCCUUC
Triticum aestivum (bread wheat) is the source of this 2034-nucleotide non-coding RNA. Lineage: Eukaryota; Viridiplantae; Streptophyta; Magnoliopsida; Poales; Poaceae. The record is from Rfam.